RNAcentral lists this unclassified non-coding RNA (183 nucleotides) under uncultured Nectriaceae. Its description in RNAcentral is "sequence contains ITS2". The record is from RNAcentral. Lineage: Eukaryota; Fungi; Ascomycota; Sordariomycetes; Hypocreales; Nectriaceae.
ACACCCCUCAAGCCCCCGGGCUUGGUGUUGGGGAUCGGGAAGCGGGCGGAGCCGGGCAACCGGCGCCGCCCCCCGUCCCCCAAAUGCAUCGGCGGUCACGCCGCGGCCUCUUGCGCGUAGUAGCUAACACCUCGCGCCGGAGCCCGUCGUGGUCCACGCCGUAAAACCCCCGACUUUUUCAAA